UACGUAGGAUGCAAGCGUUAUCCGGAUUUAUUGGGUUUAAAGGGUGCGUAGGCGGACUUAUAAGUCAGUGGUGAAAUCUCGUUGCUUAACAACGAACGUGCCAUUGAUACUGUAGGUCUUGAGUACAGAUGCCGUUGGCGGAAUGUGUCAUGUAGCGGUGAAAUGCAUAGAUAUGACACAGAACACCGAUUGCGAAGGCAGCUGACGAAACUGUAACUGACGCUGAGGCACGAAAGCGUGGGGAUCAAACAGG
RNAcentral lists this ribosomal RNA (253 nucleotides) under uncultured bacterium. RNAcentral describes it as "partial 16S ribosomal RNA". It matches the Rfam family "Bacterial small subunit ribosomal RNA", at positions 524 to 776 of the family's 1533-position model. The record is from RNAcentral.